AGGGAGUUCCGCCUGCGGGGAUGAAGGGCUGACCGUGGGCAGAGGGGGCCUCUCAUAUUUGGCUGCCGGCUCCGGGUCGCGUCCCCACCGUUUCCCUCCUGCAUCUGGAAACCAUCGCCAUCCACGAAAGCGACACCGACACCCGCGCUCAAGCCUCGGAUUUCAGGGGCCGUAAGGCGGGGUCGGGUGACAGCGCGGCUUCCCGCCCCGUCGCAGCUGCCCCCAACUAGGCCCAGCUCAGUGAGGGAGAGUGAGGCGGCCGGGCCAAAGACUGAGUGACCGGGUGGGGGCUGUCCCCUGCCCCACUCUCCAGCCCAUGCGUCCCUGCGGUGGCCUCAGACCCUUCACCCCGCCCGACCUGGCUCACGUUGCAGGAAACGCGACACCGCAGGAUUCGUUUUCUGGGCCAGCCCGCCGGCUCCGCGCCCC
This 429-nucleotide long non-coding RNA is filed under the name Homo sapiens (human). RNAcentral describes it as "HSALNT0002304". Lineage: Eukaryota; Metazoa; Chordata; Mammalia; Primates; Hominidae. The record is from RNAcentral.